GGAAUUUAAACUAAUUAUCUUCUCUUAAAAUGAGAUGCAUGACUAUCAAUUAGGUUAUGCCUUUGCUACACUAAGCAUGCCAUAAAAUCACCAAAAAGGAUGGCUAUCUCAUCGAGUUAAAAGAGAAUUUGAAUAUGCAGAGGGCCUUACUGUAUAUAUCAUCACGAAGCAACAUUGAGUUUUUCAUUUAGCAAGGGAAGAAUUUUUAUGCAUUUAUGAGCUUAUUGUACAAAUGGAAAUAACAUUAAUAAAAAUGCAAAAACCCAUCCCAAAUCCCAGAGCAAAAUGAUAGUGCCUAAGCAACCUUUUCAUGAUGUUUUGUCCAUCAGCUGUACUGGUGCCAGGAUAUUAGACUUGCUCGUCUCAACAACACAACCAUUCAUGACCAUCUCCUCCAGCAUGAAAUGUGCCUUUUCUAAAUGGAACAUGAUGUCUAGCUCACACACAUUCCCAAAAUGGCGGUCCAUGGUUUCAACUAAGAGAUGUAUGAAUUCCAAUAUUGCAAGCUCAUUCUGCAAAACGCAAGCAGAGAGAAUAUUAAGAAAUACAUUAAAAUGAACUAUAGGUUAAGUUUGGACAAGCAAAUUUCAAGCACCCAGCAUGACUAAAUCAAUAAAUGUAGAAAACAGAAAGAAUUCCAAAGUGCUCUUUUAUAACCCAUGUCAUCCAUUUCCUCCAAGACCGACACACUCCUAAACUUUCUCCAAAGCAAUGCAUAAUAUAUCAAGAAGAAUCUUAAGUCAACUCCUAUUGAAUAUAUGAUCACCAUCAAUAUUAUUGCUUAAAAGAUUGAAGCUUUCAUGCUACUAAGCAGUGUGUGUUAGGCCCUUUAGAGGCGAGGCGGAAUCUCAAUUUCCACAGUAAUCACUAUAAUGUUAUACAUAAAUAUAGAUUUAUAGAUAAAAGGAAGCAAAAACACUAAGCACAAUUAGAACUUCUCAAUGCGAAUAAUUCAAGCCACUUUCCUGGUUCAGCAAGCACAAUAAUCCUAAAGCAAAACACCAAUCAACAAAUUUAAAAAAAAAAGGGACUUACUUCAUCGUUGUCAACACCAACCAGGAAAAAUAAUGAUGCGUAGCGCCUGUAAACAAUUUUGUAAUUGCGAUGCUCAACGAAAGAACACUGUUAUUGAAUAUCCAAAACAAUAACAUUACUGACAAGAAAGCUUUUCAAGAAAGGUUUUAAAAGUUAUAUACCCUAAGAAAAAUCAAAAUCCCUACAUUACCAGGAAUUCUUUUAUUUAUUUGUAACCUAAAUUACGCUGGGAAUGCAAAGAAAUUUUCAACUAUUCCUUUUAAAUAGAAUUUGAUGUCGGAUUAAAAGCGAUUUGCAGCGGAAUUUAGCAUCUAUUAAAUAGUGUUAAAAAUUAUAUAAAGGAAGGAAAACGGAGGCAAAAUCAGAGGAGGAUGAGGUAUUAAGAUCAGAGGAAAAGAAGAUCUGGGCAUUAUUGAUUGAGUUAUAAAGAAAAUAUGCAACUAAAUCGAAUGUGAUUAGGGAGAGAGAGAAAACCUGUUGCUCGGUGCGGGCAAGGCAUUUGCGGACGAUUUCGCCUUCGAGAGCACGGCGUUCUUCAAGGGUGAGCCACUCGUAGUAUUGAGCUAGACGCGUCUGCCCUUGCUUGUUCACCAUCAAUAUGAAUCUGAUCCCCAUUCUUCUUCUUCUUCUUCUU
RNAcentral lists this unclassified non-coding RNA (1669 nucleotides) under Hevea brasiliensis (rubber tree). The record is from RNAcentral. Lineage: Eukaryota; Viridiplantae; Streptophyta; Magnoliopsida; Malpighiales; Euphorbiaceae.